AUGUCGAAUUUGCCAUGGUUAGUGGCAGGUGACUUCAAUGAAAUCCUGCAGGCCAGUGAGAAGGAAGGGGGUGCUGCACGCCCUCAGAGGUGUAUGCAGGCUUUUAGCAAUGCCCUGGAUGAUUGUCAACUUGAUGACCUUGGUUAUUCGGGAGAUAUCUUCAGCUGGCGUAGAGGUCGGAUACGAGAGCGACUCGACAAGGCAGUAUCUAACAGUUCUUGGGCCGAUCUUUUUCCAGCAUACGGUGUGGCGAACGAACCGUUUAAUAAAUCCGAUCAUCGACCGAUCCUA
RNAcentral lists this ribosomal RNA (291 nucleotides) under Triticum aestivum (bread wheat). RNAcentral describes it as "partial small subunit ribosomal RNA". Lineage: Eukaryota; Viridiplantae; Streptophyta; Magnoliopsida; Poales; Poaceae. The record is from RNAcentral.